RNAcentral lists this ribosomal RNA (458 nucleotides) under uncultured bacterium. Its description in RNAcentral is "partial 16S ribosomal RNA". It matches the Rfam family "Bacterial small subunit ribosomal RNA", at positions 338 to 795 of the family's 1533-position model. The record is from RNAcentral.
CCUACGGGAGGCAGCUGUGAGGAAUAUUGGUCAAUGGACGAGAGUCUGAACCAGCCAAGUAGCGUGAAGGAUGACUGCCCUAUGGGUUGUAAACUUCUUUUAUAUGGGAUAAAAUGUUCCACGUGUGGGAUUUUGUAUGUACCAUAUGAAUAAGGAUCGGCUAACUCCGUGCCAGCAGCCGGGGUAAUACGGAGGGUGCGAGCGUUAUCCGGAUUUCCUGGGUUAAAAGGGUGCGGAGGCGGAUCGUUAAGUCAGUGGGCAAAUUGAGGGGCUCAACCCCUUCCCCCCAUUGAAACUGGCGUUCUUGAGUGGAAGAGAGGUAUGCGGAAGGCGUGGUGUAGCGGUGAAAUGCAUAGAUAUCACGCAGAACCCCGAUUGCGAAGGCAGCAUGCCGGCUUCCGACUGACGCUGAAGCACGAAAGCGUGGGUAUCGAACAGGAUUAGAUACCCUUGUAGUC